GCCUGCGCACUAGCAGCCUUCCGCGCUGCGUGCGGUUACCUCUUGGAGAGGUGGUUUUUCUCUAGUUUUUCGCUUUUUCUUCUCUGUGAAAUGGGGUAAAGGCACAAGCCUGGGCUGUUGCAGGACCCCCACCUCUUGAACGAUAUCUGAAACUGGUUAGAUUAGCUAUAAAUAUUUGCUGAGUGAACGGAACAAGCAGCCUGAUGUGGCGACUUUAGUCUCAGCCCUCGCUCCCAGUCCAGAGUCCCACUUGGACCUUCGCUCCUAGUCAGUUGCUAAAGCACAGACCCAUCAAAGCAUCCCUGUCAUGGCAGAAAAGUGAAGAAGAUAGGUGAAAAGGUAAAUCUUCUGUUGUCCUUAUCCCAAUACAUAGGCAACAGACCAGUGUGCUUCUAUAGGCUGAAUCGAAUACCUACACAUUUGCAUGAGAACUGCUGCACUUACUCUUUUCCAUAGGCUCUCUCCUAGUUGAGCAGGAGGCAGAAAUUAAUAUUGUUAAAUUAAUAGCUAACAAUUGAGCAGAUGAUGUACUAUACGAUGCUAGAGUAUGUACUAAGCAAUUUACAUGUAUUGUCUCUCCACCCUCACAACAACCCAAUAAAGCAGAGAAAAUUACAAUCCCUAGCCGGGCACAGCAGCUCAGCCUGUAAUCCCAGCACUUUGGGAAGCUGAGGUAGGAGGAUUGCUUGAGCUCAGGAGUUCGAGACCAUCCUGGGCAACAUAGCAAGACCCUGUCUCUAAAAUAAAGGGAAAAAAAGGGGGGCCAAGUGUGGUGGCUCAUGCCUGUCA
This 789-nucleotide long non-coding RNA is filed under the name Homo sapiens (human). Its description in RNAcentral is "non-protein coding lnc-GPR119-3:1". Lineage: Eukaryota; Metazoa; Chordata; Mammalia; Primates; Hominidae. The record is from RNAcentral.